Triticum aestivum (bread wheat) is the source of this 115-nucleotide non-coding RNA. The record is from Rfam. NCBI's taxonomy places the organism in Eukaryota, Viridiplantae, Streptophyta, Magnoliopsida, Poales, Poaceae.
CUAGUACUUCCUCCGUUCGGAAUUACUUGUCGCAGAAAUGAAUGUAUCUAGACGUAUUUUAGUUCUAAAUAUAUCUAUUUCCAAGACAAAUAAUUCCGAACGGAGGGAGUAUUUC